Molecule: non-coding RNA, 828 nt
Organism: Podarcis lilfordi (Lilford's wall lizard)
Lineage: Eukaryota; Metazoa; Chordata; Lepidosauria; Squamata; Lacertidae
Source: the annotation of a GenBank genome assembly
AGAUACACAAACACACAGCCCAGCAGCCCCUAGAUCCCUGGCUAGUGGCAGAGGUCAGAAUGUGAUUUUCUUCAGCUGUACAGUCCCUGGGCAAUUUUUAGUUGAAGCUGAGUGUUUAUAUUAAUUACUGUGAUCCAUCUGCCAGAGUUAUUUUCAUUCUUAUUGCCUAUCCGCAUUCAAAAAUUAUUAUGCAGAGCCCACAUUUCAAUGAAGUGGCAGUCACAUUUGAUUGUAAUAGAGGUUUGGUGUUUCACUGACCUUUGUUUCACUUGGAUGGAACUCACUCAAAGGGCAAAAAAUUAGUGAGCGUAGCAUUGGAUGAAUAAAUAGAUGAUGUACUUUCUAACGAUCCAUGAAUCAAAGACAUACUGAGUUAUGGUUUCUUAUUUCACGUUCUGUAUGAUACUGUGAAUGACUCCUGUGUAUAUCUUACUCAACAGAGCACUCAGGUAUAGUUAAUUUUCUUUAUAGCAUGGAACUGCAUUAAAAUGCUUCGAUGCUAAAUAUCACACUUUGCUAUUCUGCGCAACUGUUAAUGUCUUCAUGGGUGGUGUCCUUAAGCAGAUAAACCUGAUUCAGUUCCUUUAUUGGAACCAACAUUUCUGAGCCUGCAGAGGAAAGAUUAGCAAGCAUGUAACAGGCUGUCCUUCAAAGGUGCUUUAUAUAUGGCUUGUAUGGAAAAAUAGAGGACGGAAACAAUUUCCUAGAGGAUAUAGAACAUAAAAUAAUCCUUGACAAACUCAAAGUACUAUAAGCCAUCAUUCUACGCAUGCAUUCAAGGUGCACGGAUGAAUUUCCUUGCUUCCAUCUGAAUGGGAAGCCAAGGAG